Molecule: small nucleolar RNA, 123 nt
Filed under: Echinops telfairi (small Madagascar hedgehog)
Lineage: Eukaryota; Metazoa; Chordata; Mammalia; Afrosoricida; Tenrecidae
Description: Small nucleolar RNA SNORA61 (ENSETEG00000025343.1)
Source: RNAcentral
GCCCUACUGAUUCCCUGCCCAUCAGACCUAAGCCCUGGUGUGAGUGGUUAUAAAAGGAGGAAAAAUAAAAUUGAAACUGUGAUAGGCAGGUUUAUUGUGCCGACCUUGGCAAUAGGAACAUGU